CAGCAGCCGCGGUAAUACCGGCGGCCCGAGUGGCGGUCACUAUUAUUGGGCUUAAAGCGUCCGUAGCCGGGUUGGGAAGUCCUCCGGGAAAUCUGGCCGCUUAACGGUCAGAAUGCCGGAGGAUACUCCCAGCCUAGGGAGCGGGAGAGGCCGAGGGUAUUCCCGGAGUAGGGGUGAAAUCCUAUAAUCCCGGGAGGACCACCUGUGGCGAAGGCGUUCGGCUGGAACGCGUCCGACGGUGAGGGACGAAGGCCAGGGGAGCAAACCGGAUUAGAUACCCGGGUAGUCCUGGCUGUAAACGAUGCGGACUUUGUGUCGGACAAGCUAUGAGCUUGUCCGGUGCCGGAGGGAAACCGUUAAGUCCGCCGCCUGGGGAGUACGGCCGCAAGGCUGAAACUUAAAGGAAUUGGCGGG
RNAcentral lists this ribosomal RNA (414 nucleotides) under uncultured microorganism. Its description in RNAcentral is "bacterial SSU rRNA". It matches the Rfam family "Archaeal small subunit ribosomal RNA", at positions 459 to 872 of the family's 1478-position model. The record is from RNAcentral.